Molecule: ribosomal RNA, 494 nt
Filed under: uncultured bacterium
Lineage: Bacteria
Description: partial 16S ribosomal RNA
Rfam family: Bacterial small subunit ribosomal RNA
Source: RNAcentral
GACGAACGCUGGCGGCGUGCUUAACACAUGCGAGUCGAACGGAAAGGCCUGCUUUCCCUUGUGGAUUGCGGGUACUCGAGUGGCGAACGGGUGAGUAACACGUGAGUGAUCUGCCCCCAACUUGGGUAUAAGCCUGGGAAACUGGGUCUAAUUCCCGAUAGGACUGCAGGGUGGUGCCUGUGGUGGAAAACGAUUUUCUAGUGGUUGGGGAUGAGCUCGCGGCCUAUCAGCUUGUUGGUGGGGUAAUGGCCUACCAAGGCGGCGACGGGUAGCCGGCCUGAGAGGGUGGACGGCCACAUUGGGACUGAGAUACGGCCCAGACUCCUACGGGAGGCAGCAGUGGGGAAUAUUGCACAAUGGGCGGAAGCCUGAUGCGGCGACGCCGCGUGGGGGAUGACGGCCUUCGGGUUGUAAACUCCUUUCGACCGCGAGGAAGCCACCUGGUUGGAAGGGUGGUGACGGUAGUGGUAGAAGAAGCACCGGCUAACUACGUG